RNAcentral lists this transfer RNA (76 nucleotides) under Coriobacteriales bacterium. Its description in RNAcentral is "tRNA-Arg". It matches the Rfam family "tRNA". Rfam says of the family: Transfer RNA (tRNA) molecules are approximately 80 nucleotides in length. Their secondary structure includes four short double-helical elements and three loops (D, anti-codon, and T loops). Further hydrogen bonds mediate the characteristic L-shaped molecular structure. tRNAs have two regions of fundamental functional importance: the anti-codon, which is responsible for specific mRNA codon recognition, and the 3' end, to which the tRNAs corresponding amino acid is attached (by aminoacyl-tRNA synthetases). tRNAs cope with the degeneracy of the genetic code in two manners: having more than one tRNA (with a specific anti-codon) for a particular amino acid; and 'wobble' base-pairing, i.e. permitting non-standard base-pairing at the 3rd anti-codon position. Lineage: Bacteria; Bacillati; Actinomycetota; Coriobacteriia; Coriobacteriales. The record is from RNAcentral.
GCCCUCGUAGCUCAGGGGAUAGAGCACAGCUCUCCUAAAGCUGGUGUCGUACGUUCGAAUCGUAUCGAGGGCACCA